This 169-nucleotide ribosomal RNA is filed under the name uncultured Psychroflexus sp. RNAcentral describes it as "partial 16S ribosomal RNA". It matches the Rfam family "Bacterial small subunit ribosomal RNA", at positions 365 to 528 of the family's 1533-position model. Lineage: Bacteria; Pseudomonadati; Bacteroidota; Flavobacteriia; Flavobacteriales; Flavobacteriaceae. The record is from RNAcentral.
CGGGUGAAGGGAGCAUCCGUGAUCCAGCCAUGCCGCGGUGCAGGAAGACUGCCCUAUGGGUUUGUAAACUGCUUUUAUACAGGAAGAAAAAGGUGUACGUGUACACUGUUUGACGGUACUGUAAGAAUAAGGAUCGGCUAACUCCGUGCCAGCAGCCGCGGUAAUACGA